Molecule: transfer RNA, 75 nt
Filed under: Rhyticeros undulatus (Wreathed hornbill)
Lineage: Eukaryota; Metazoa; Chordata; Aves; Bucerotiformes; Bucerotidae
Description: tRNA-Asn
Source: RNAcentral
UAGGCAGAGGCCUGUUGGUUUGGGCGCCUAGCUGUUAACUAGGAGAGUUUGUGGGAUCGAGGCCCACCUGCCUAG